This 497-nucleotide ribosomal RNA is filed under the name uncultured bacterium. Its description in RNAcentral is "partial 16S ribosomal RNA". It matches the Rfam family "Bacterial small subunit ribosomal RNA", at positions 28 to 507 of the family's 1533-position model. The record is from RNAcentral.
GAUGAACGCUGGCGGCGUGCCUAAUACAUGCAAGUCGAGCGAACAGACGAGGAGCUUGCUCUUCUGAUGUUAGCGGCGGACGGGUGAGUAACACGUGGAUAACCUACCUAUAAGACUGGGAUAACUUCGGGAAACCGGAGCUAAUACCGGAUAAUAUAUUGAACCGCAUGGUUCAAUAGUGAAAGACGGUUUUGCUGUUACUUAUAGAUGGAUCCGCGCCGCAUUAGCUAGUUGGUAAGGUAACGGCUUACCAAGGCAACGAUCCGUAGCCGACCUGGGAGGGGGAUCGGCAACCCUGGACCUGAGACACGGUCAAGACUCCUACGGGAGGCAGCAGUAGGGAAUCUUCGGCAAUGGGCGAAAGCCUGACGGAGCAACGCCGCGUGAGUGAUGAAGGUCUUCGGAUCGUAAAACUCUGUUAUUAGGGAAGAACAAAUGGGUAAGUAACUGUGCACAUUUUGACGGUACCUAAUCAGAAAGCCACGGCUAACUACGUG